Molecule: transfer RNA, 85 nt
Organism: Felis catus (domestic cat)
Lineage: Eukaryota; Metazoa; Chordata; Mammalia; Carnivora; Felidae
Rfam family: tRNA
About the family: Transfer RNA (tRNA) molecules are approximately 80 nucleotides in length.
Source: Rfam
ACCUGAGUGGCUCAGUCGGUUGAGCGUCUGACUUCUGCUCAGGUGAUGAUCUCAUAGUUUGUGAGUUCGAGCCCCACGUCAGGCU